CCUCACGGGAGGCAGCAGUGGGGAAUAUUGCACAAUGGGCGGAAGCCUGAUGCAGCAACGCCGCGUGAGGGAUGACGGCCUUCGGGUUGUAAACCUCUUUUAGCAGGGAAGAAGCGAAAGUGACGGUACCUGCAGAAAAAGCACCGGCUAACUACGUGCCAGCAGCCGCGGUAAUACGUAGGGUGCAAGCGUUACCGGAAUUAUUGGGCGUAAAGAGCUCGUAGGCGGUUUGUCGCGUCUGCUGUGAAAUCCCGAGGCUCAACCUCGGGCCUGCAGUGGGUACGGGCAGACUAGAGUGCGGUAGGGGAGAUUGGAAUCCUGGUGUAGCGGUGGAAGCGCAGAUACAGAGACACGAGGCGAGGCAGUCUCUGGGCCGUACUGAGCUGAGACGAAGGGUGGGGAGCAACAGCUUAAACCUGGUAUCCACCCGUAACGUUGGACUAUUGUGGGUUCCUUUCCCGGUUCCGGUACCACUACGCCUUCGUUCCCCGCCGGCCCCUGCCGGCGACGGAGGAUC
This 517-nucleotide ribosomal RNA is filed under the name Microbacterium sp. KNF3. RNAcentral's name for it is "bacterial SSU rRNA". It matches the Rfam family "Bacterial small subunit ribosomal RNA", at positions 338 to 873 of the family's 1533-position model. The record is from RNAcentral. Lineage: Bacteria; Bacillati; Actinomycetota; Actinomycetes; Micrococcales; Microbacteriaceae.